Molecule: ribosomal RNA, 151 nt
Filed under: Astreopora incrustans
Lineage: Eukaryota; Metazoa; Cnidaria; Anthozoa; Scleractinia; Acroporidae
Description: partial 5.8S rRNA
Rfam family: 5.8S ribosomal RNA
About the family: 5.8S ribosomal RNA (5.8S rRNA) is a component of the large subunit of the eukaryotic ribosome. It is transcribed by RNA polymerase I as part of the 45S precursor that also contains 18S and 28S rRNA.
Source: RNAcentral
CUUUUGACGGUGGAUCUCUUGGCUCACGCAUCGAUGAAGAACGCAGCCAGCUGCGAUAAGUAGUGUGAAUUGUAGAAUUCAGUGAAUCAUCGAAUCUUUGAACGCAAAUGGCGCUCUUGGGUUCUCCCAGGAGCAUGUCUGUCUGAGUGUC